CCCCUGGACGACGACGAGCUCAUCUCCUACAUCAUCAACGCCCUCGACAUGGAAUACCAGCCGCUGGUCUUUGCCCUCGAUGCUCGUGUCAUCCCAGUCACCCUUGACGAACUGUUUGCUCAGAUGAGCAACUUCGAUC
Molecule: small nucleolar RNA, 139 nt
Filed under: Triticum aestivum (bread wheat)
Lineage: Eukaryota; Viridiplantae; Streptophyta; Magnoliopsida; Poales; Poaceae
Also listed under: 1 other name
Description: Small nucleolar RNA Z247
Rfam family: Small nucleolar RNA Z247
About the family: Z247 is a member of the C/D class of snoRNA which contain the C (UGAUGA) and D (CUGA) box motifs. Most of the members of the box C/D family function in directing site-specific 2'-O-methylation of substrate RNAs.
Source: Rfam by way of RNAcentral